RNAcentral lists this ribosomal RNA (796 nucleotides) under uncultured Methanosarcinaceae archaeon. RNAcentral describes it as "bacterial SSU rRNA". It matches the Rfam family "Archaeal small subunit ribosomal RNA", at positions 85 to 879 of the family's 1478-position model. The record is from RNAcentral. Lineage: Archaea; Methanobacteriati; Methanobacteriota; Methanomicrobia; Methanosarcinales; Methanosarcinaceae.
ACUGCUCAGUAACACGUGGAUAACCUGCCCUUGGGACCGGCAUAACCCCGGGAAACUGGGGAUAAUUCCGGAUACCGCAUAUAUGCUGGAAUGCUUUAUGCGUGAAAUGGAUUCGUCUGCCCAAGGAUGGGUCUGCGGCCUAUCAGGUAGUAGUGGGUGUAAUGUACCUACUAGCCUACAACGGGUACGGGUUGUGAGAGCAAGAGCCCGGAGAUGGAUUCUGAGACAUGAAUCCAGGCCCUACGGGGCGCAGCAGGCGCGAAAACUUUACAAUGCGGGAAACCGUGAUAAGGGGACACCGAGUGCCAGCAUCAUAUGCUGGCUGUCCAGGUGUGUAAAAUACACCUGUUAGCAAGGGCCGGGCAAGACCGGUGCCAGCCGCCGCGGUAACACCGGCGGCCCGAGUGGUGAUCGUGAUUAUUGGGUCUAAAGGGUCCGUAGCCGGUUUGGUCAGUCCUCCGGGAAAUCUGACAGUUUAACUGUUAGGCUUUCGGGGGAUACUGCCAGACUUGGAACCGGGAGAGGUAAGAGGUACUACAGGGGUAGGAGUGAAAUCUUGUAAUCCCUGUGGGACCACCUGUGGCGAAGGCGUCUUACCAGAACGGGUUCGACGGUGAGGGACGAAAGCUGGGGGCACGAACCGGAUUAGAUACCCGGGUAGUCCCAGCCGUAAACGAUGCUCGCUAGGUGUCAGGCAUGGCGCGACCGUGUCUGGUGCCGCAGGGAAGCCGUGAAGCGAGCCACCUGGGAAGUACGGCCGCAAGGCUGAAACUUAAAGGAAUUGGCGGGGGAGCAC